UGAAUACGAGAUGCUACGGCGUCGAAGCAGUCUAUGUCAUACUUCCAAGAAAAGCUUGCACUGUCAUAAACAAAUAAUGCCUGUACCAUAACCGACACAGGUGGGUAGGUAGAGUAUACUAAGGGGCGCGAGAUAACUCUCUCUAAGGAACUCGGCAAAAUGACUCCGUAGCUUCGGGAGAAGGAGUGCCUUAUUUAUAAGGUUGCAAUAACAAGAUCCAAGCAACUGUUUACCAAAAACACAGGUCUCCGCUAAGUCGUAAGACGAUGUAUGGGGGCUGACGCCUGCCCAGUGCCAGAAGGUUAAAGAAGUUGGUUAGCAUCCGCGAAGCUGAUAACUGAAGCCCUGGUGAACGGCGGCCGUAACGAUAACGGUCCUAAGGUAGCGAAAUUCCUUGUCGGGUAAGUUCCGACCCGCACGAAAGGCGUAAUGAUUUGGAUACUGUCUCGGAGAGGGGCUCGGUGAAAUAGACUUGUCUGUGAAGAUGCGGACUACCCGCACCAGGACAGAAAGACCCUAUGAAGCUUUACUGUAACCUGAAAUUGAAAUUGGACUUUACUUGCGCAGUAUAGGUGGGAGGCGUUGAGAAUAUUCUUGCGGGAUUAUUGGAGCCAUCAGUGAGAUACCACUCUUGUAAUGUUAGAUUUCUAACUUUGUAUCAUUAUCUGGUCAAAGAACAGUUUCAGGCGGGCAGUUUGACUGGGGCGGUCGCCUCCUAAACGGUAACGGAGGCGCACAAAGGUUUCCUCUGAACGGGUAGAAAUCGUAUCUAGAGUGUAAAGGCAUAAGGAAGCUUGACUGUGAGACCUACAAGUCGAGCAGGGACGAAAGUCGGUCUUAGUGAUCUGACGGUGCUGAGUGGAAAGGCCGUCACUCAACGGAUAAAAGUUACUCUAGGAUAACAGGCUGAUCUCCCCCAAGAGUUCACAUCGACGGGGAGGUUUGGCACCUCGAUGUCGGCUCAUCGCAUCCUGGGGCGGUAGUACGUCCCAAGGGUUGGGCUGUUCGCCCAUGAAAGCGGUACGCGAGCUGGGUUCAGAACGUCGUGAGACAGUUCGGUCCAUAUCCGGUGUAGGCGUUAGAAUAUUGAGAGGAGCCUUCUUUAGUACGAGAGGACCGAGAAGGACAUACCUCUGGUGUACCAGUUAUCGUGCCAACGGUAAACGCUGGGUAGCUAUGUGUGGAGUGGAUAACCGCUGAAAGCAUCUAAGUGGGAAGCCCACCUCAAGAUAAGUAUUCUC
This 1241-nucleotide ribosomal RNA is filed under the name metagenome. Its description in RNAcentral is "bacterial LSU rRNA". It matches the Rfam family "Bacterial large subunit ribosomal RNA", at positions 1564 to 2815 of the family's 2925-position model. The record is from RNAcentral.